RNAcentral lists this ribosomal RNA (575 nucleotides) under Aspergillus kanagawaensis. Its description in RNAcentral is "eukaryotic LSU rRNA". It matches the Rfam family "Eukaryotic large subunit ribosomal RNA", at positions 58 to 648 of the family's 3401-position model. Lineage: Eukaryota; Fungi; Ascomycota; Eurotiomycetes; Eurotiales; Aspergillaceae. RNAcentral also lists the same sequence under 1 other name. The record is from RNAcentral.
AAAGAAACCAACCGGGAUUGCCUCAGUAACGGCGAGUGAAGCGGCAAGAGCUCAAAUUUGAAAUCUGGCCCCCUCGGGGUCCGAGUUGUAAUUUGCAGAGGAUGCUUCGGAUGCGGCCCCUGUCUAAGUGCCCUGGAACGGGCCGUCGGAGAGGGUGAGAAUCCCGUCUGGGAUGGGGUGUCCGUGUCCGUGUGAAGCUCCUUCGACGAGUCGAGUUGUUUGGGAAUGCAGCUCUAAAUGGGUGGUAAAUUUCAUCUAAAGCUAAAUACUGGCCGGAGACCGAUAGCGCACAAGUAGAGUGAUCGAAAGAUGAAAAGCACUUUGAAAAGAGAGUUAAACAGCACGUGAAAUUGUUGAAAGGGAAGCGCAUGCGACCAGACUCGCUCGCGGGGUUCAGCCGGCAUUCGUGCCGGUGUACUUCCCCGCGGGCGGGCCAGCGUCGGUUUGGGCGGCCGGUCAAAGGCCCCCGGAAUGUAUCACCUCUCGGGGUGUCUUAUAGCCGGGGGUGCAAUGCGGCCAGCCUGGACCGAGGAACGCGCUUCGGCACGGACGCUGGCAUAAUGGUCGUAAGCGAC